AAAUUGAAGAGUUUGAUCAUGGCUCAGAUUGAACGCUGGCGGCAGGCCUAACACAUGCAAGUCGAACGGUAACAGGAAUCAGCUUGCUGCUUUGCUGACGCGUGGCGGACGGGUGAGUAAUGUCUGUGAAACUGCCCGAUGGCGGGGGAUAACUCCUGG
This 159-nucleotide ribosomal RNA is filed under the name Escherichia coli. Its description in RNAcentral is "partial 16S ribosomal RNA". It matches the Rfam family "Bacterial small subunit ribosomal RNA", at positions 1 to 153 of the family's 1533-position model. The record is from RNAcentral. Lineage: Bacteria; Pseudomonadati; Pseudomonadota; Gammaproteobacteria; Enterobacterales; Enterobacteriaceae.